RNAcentral lists this ribosomal RNA (301 nucleotides) under uncultured bacterium. RNAcentral's name for it is "partial 16S ribosomal RNA". It matches the Rfam family "Bacterial small subunit ribosomal RNA", at positions 509 to 807 of the family's 1533-position model. The record is from RNAcentral.
CAGCAGCCGCGGGAAAACGAAGGGUGCAAGCGUUACUCGGAAUUACUGGGCGUAAAGCGUGCGUAGGUGGUUUGUUAAGUUGGAGGUGAAAUCCCCGGGCUCAACCUGGGAACUGCCUCCAAAACUGGCUGACUAGAGUACGGUAGAGGGUGGUGGAAUUUCCUGUGUAGCGGUGAAAUGCGUAGAUAUAGGAAGGAACACCAGUGGCGAAGGCGACCACCUGGACUGAUACUGACACUGAGGUGCGAAAGCGUGGGGAGCAAACAGGAUUAGAUACCCCAGUAGUCCCUGUCUCUUAUAC